CACCAAUCGAUUAUUAGCUACAGCCAUCGAUUGUAUUCAAAAAUUAAACAAACCUCUUUUCAACAAUUAAGCUGCUUCCUUUUCCUUCCUCUUUUCACUCCCAUGUUCACAUUUCACGUAAAAAGAAACAAACAAACCUCAACAACUGUAUCACCAAAGCACAUGGUGGGCCCCAUUCCUUUUGUCUUUUCUUUUCACUAUUGUUCACAUCGACACCACCACGUGUCCUUUUCCGCCUCCACUAUCAUCACCCACCUUCACUGACAGCUGUGGUUCCAGGUCAUCUACACCAUCCAUCCAUGCAUGCAUCUGUUAUAUCCAUGUCUUUAUCAUGGCUCCAUGCAUACAUCCAUCGCUAAAAUUAAAUAAAAAAAAUAUUUAUUUUUAUCUUUUUAUUAAAAAAAAUUGUUAUUUCUUAGUUGGAUGCAGCUUUAUAAGCGCCAUUUCUCCAUGUCUUUGGAGCGCCUUUUGAGAGAGAGAUAGAG
Molecule: unclassified non-coding RNA, 485 nt
Filed under: Hevea brasiliensis (rubber tree)
Lineage: Eukaryota; Viridiplantae; Streptophyta; Magnoliopsida; Malpighiales; Euphorbiaceae
Source: RNAcentral